RNAcentral lists this ribosomal RNA (116 nucleotides) under Vagococcus fessus. The record is from RNAcentral. Lineage: Bacteria; Bacillati; Bacillota; Bacilli; Lactobacillales; Enterococcaceae.
UGUGGUGGCGAUGGCAAGAAGGAUACACCUGUUCCCAUGCCGAACACAGAAGUUAAGCUUCUUAGCGCCGAUGGUAGUUGGGGGUUUCCCCCUGUGAGAGUAGGACGUUGCCACGC